This 233-nucleotide long non-coding RNA is filed under the name Setaria viridis. RNAcentral describes it as "long non-coding RNA (SVIR_LNC002870)". Lineage: Eukaryota; Viridiplantae; Streptophyta; Magnoliopsida; Poales; Poaceae. The record is from RNAcentral.
AGAUAAAGAGGGAGUCAGCCCAUGAGAGCAUGAUGAUCAACCCAGUACGAGUCGUACUUGUAAAUAUUCGUUUUUCGUUUAAAAUUAGAGAUAGAGUUCUAGUCGGUUAAGAAGUCGUUUGUAAAAAGGCUAUAAAUAGCCACCCUUGUAGAUCUGUAAUCAUCAUCAAAUCAAUACAACAAACUACUAUUUCCUCGUACUUACUUUCGAGCAGGCGACUUCGCCAAUACUUU